GGAAUCUUCCACAAUGGACGCAAGUCUGAUGGAGCAACGCCGCGUGAGUGAAGAAGGUCUUCGGAUCGUAAAACUCUGUUGUAAGAGAAGAACGUGUGUGAGAGUGGAAAGUUCACACAGUGACGGUAACUUACCAGAAAGGGACGGCUAACUACGUGCCAG
RNAcentral lists this ribosomal RNA (162 nucleotides) under uncultured bacterium. RNAcentral's name for it is "partial 16S rRNA". It matches the Rfam family "Bacterial small subunit ribosomal RNA", at positions 358 to 511 of the family's 1533-position model. The record is from RNAcentral.